ACAUUAGUGACUGCGGAGGGACAUUACACAAAUAUGAAGGCGGGCUGGAACCUCUCGGGGUUACAGCCUUGCUGAAUUAUUCACCCUUGUCUUUUGCGUACUUCUUGUUUCCUUGGUGGGUUCGCCCACCACUAGGACAAACAUAAACCUUUUGUAAUUGCAAUCAGCGUCAGUAACAAAUUAAUAAUUACAACUUUCAACAACGGAUCUCUUGGUUCUGGCAUCGAUGAAGAACGCAGCGAAAUGCGAUAAGUAGUGUGAAUUGCAGAAUUCAGUGAAUCAUCGAAUCUUUGAACGCACAUUGCGCCCUUUGGUAUUCCAAAGGGCAUGCCUGUUCGAGCGUCAUUUGUACCCUCAAGCUUUGCUUGGUGUUGGGCGUCUUGUCUCUAGCUUUGCUGGAGACUCGCCUUAAAGUAAUUGGCAGCCGGCCUACUGGUUUCGGAGCGCAGCACAAGUCGCACUCUCUAUCAGCAAAGGUCUAGCAUCCAUUAAGCCUUUUUUUCAACUUUUGACCUCGGAUCAGGUAGGGAUACCCGCUGAACUUAAGCAUAUCAUAAGCCCGGAGGAAU
RNAcentral lists this ribosomal RNA (569 nucleotides) under Colletotrichum sp. R207. Its description in RNAcentral is "eukaryotic LSU rRNA". The stretch from base 192 to 345 matches the Rfam family "5.8S ribosomal RNA". The record is from RNAcentral. Lineage: Eukaryota; Fungi; Ascomycota; Sordariomycetes; Glomerellales; Glomerellaceae.